Molecule: ribosomal RNA, 380 nt
Filed under: uncultured bacterium
Lineage: Bacteria
Description: bacterial SSU rRNA
Rfam family: Bacterial small subunit ribosomal RNA
Source: RNAcentral
UUUGAUCCUGGCUCAGGAUAAACGCUGGCGGCGCACAUAAGACAUGCAAGUCGAACGAACUUAAUACCUUGCUUGCAAGGUAAGCGGUUAGUGGCGGACUGGUGAGUAACACGUAAGAAAUCUGCCUAUCAGAGGGGAAUAACAGUGAGAAAUCACUGCUAAUACCGCAUAUGCCAUAGUUAUCGCAUGAUAAUAGUGGGAACGAAGCAAUUCGCUGAUAGAUGAGCUUGCGGCUGAUUAGCUAGUUGGUGGGGUAACGGCCUCCCAAGGCGACGAUCAGUAGCCGGACUGAGAGGUUGAACGCCCACAUCGGGACUGAGAUACGGCCCAGACUCCUUCGGGAGGCAGCAGUCGCGAAUAUUGCGCAAUGGAGGCAACUC